GGACGGUUAGCUCAGUUGGUUGGAGCGUGGUGUUGAUAACACCAAGGUUGCAGGUUCGAUUCCCGUUCAGUCCC
RNAcentral lists this transfer RNA (74 nucleotides) under Apaloderma vittatum (bar-tailed trogon). It matches the Rfam family "tRNA". From Rfam's summary of the family: Transfer RNA (tRNA) molecules are approximately 80 nucleotides in length. Their secondary structure includes four short double-helical elements and three loops (D, anti-codon, and T loops). Further hydrogen bonds mediate the characteristic L-shaped molecular structure. tRNAs have two regions of fundamental functional importance: the anti-codon, which is responsible for specific mRNA codon recognition, and the 3' end, to which the tRNAs corresponding amino acid is attached (by aminoacyl-tRNA synthetases). tRNAs cope with the degeneracy of the genetic code in two manners: having more than one tRNA (with a specific anti-codon) for a particular amino acid; and 'wobble' base-pairing, i.e. permitting non-standard base-pairing at the 3rd anti-codon position. Lineage: Eukaryota; Metazoa; Chordata; Aves; Trogoniformes; Trogonidae. The record is from Rfam by way of RNAcentral.